UCUCCGUUGGUGAACCAGCGGAGGGAUCAUUAUAGUAUUUAUAACUGCCAAACCCUAUGUCAACUUACCACUUGUUGCUUCGGUGCGCCCUUCGGUGCCGCCGAGGACACUUAAACUCUUUGUUUUUAUAAGCAUUUCUCAGUGGCCGAAAGUGAAAAUACAAAUGAAUCAAAACUUUCAACAACGGAUCUCUUGGUUCUG
This 201-nucleotide unclassified non-coding RNA is filed under the name plant metagenome. RNAcentral describes it as "partial contains small subunit ribosomal RNA, internal transcribed spacer 1, and 5.8S ribosomal RNA". The record is from RNAcentral.